RNAcentral lists this ribosomal RNA (1248 nucleotides) under uncultured rumen bacterium. RNAcentral's name for it is "partial 16S ribosomal RNA". It matches the Rfam family "Bacterial small subunit ribosomal RNA", at positions 46 to 1365 of the family's 1533-position model. The record is from RNAcentral.
GCUUAACACAUGCAAGUUGAACGGGAUUAAAUUGGUAGCUUGCUAUUGAUUUAUGAGAGUAGCGCACUGGUGAGUAACACGUGGGAACGCACCUAUUGGUGGGGGACAACAGUUGGAAACGACUGCUAAUACCGCAUAAGCCCUGAGGGGGAAAGAAAUAUUUGCCGAUAGAACGGCCCGCGGAAGAUUAGGCAGUUGGUGGGGUAAAGGCCUACCAAACCUACGAUCUAUAGCUGAUCUGAGAGGAUGAACAGCCACAUUGGAACUGAGACACGGUCCAGACUCCUACGGGAGGCAGCAGUGAGGAAUAUUGGGCAAUGGAGGAAACUCUGACCCAGCCAUGCCGCGUGAGUGAGAAGGUCUUCGGAUUGUAAAGCUCUUUUAUGCAGGAAGAUGAUGACAGUACUGCAAGAAAAAGCACCGGCAAACUUCGUGCCAGCAGCCGCGGUAAUACGAAGGGUGCGAGCGUUGUUCGGAAUUACUGGGCGUAAAGGGUGUGUAGGCGGAUUAUUAAGAUAGCGGUGAAAUGCCUGGGCUUAACCGAGGAAUUGCCGUUAUGACUAAUGAUCUAGAGUGACAGAGAGGAUACUGGAAUACCCAGUGUAGAGGUGAAAUUCGUAGAUAUUGGGUAGAACACCGGUGGCGAAGGCGAGUAUCUGGCUGUAGACUGACGCUGAGGCACGAAAGCAUGGGGAUCAAACAGGAUUAGAUACCCUGGUAGUCCAUGCUGUAAACGAUGAAUGCUAGUUGUCGGGGUGAACUUGGUGACGCAGCAAACGCGAUAAGCAUUCCGCCUGGGGAGUACGGCCGCAAGGUUAAAACUCAAAGGAAUUGACGGGGACCCGCACAAGCGGUGGAGCAUGUGGUUUAAUUCGAUGCAACGCGAAGAACCUUACCAACUCUUGACAUCCUUAUCGGGGAGAACAGAGAUGUUUUCUUUCAGUUAGGCUGGAUAAGUGACAGAUGCUGCAUGGCUGUCGUCAGCUCGUGUCGUGAGAUGUUGGGUUAAGUCCCGCACGAGCGCACCCUUGCACAUAGUGCAGCAUUAGGUGGGCACUCUAUGUGACUGCGUGACAGCGAGAGGUGGGAUGACGUCAGUCAUCAUGCUCUACGAGUGGCUACCACGUGCUACAUGGCGAUACGAGGGAGCGAGGUGAAUGGCCAUCUAAAAUCGUCUUAGUCGAAUGAACCUUCGCCACUCGAUACAUGGAUGAUCGUAAUCUACCAUGCCGGGAAUCUUCCGGCCGA